AUUAGUUUCAGUAAAAUCUAAAAUUAAUAAAAUUAAAAUAUAUUCCAGAAAAUAAUAAAGUCCUACUAAUACAUAAUACGUCAAUUACAAUAAUGAAAUUCAAGAACGGAAUUUCACAUUAGGUCCACACACCAUACUCCAAUCAAUAGUCAUAAUUGUUACCAGUGUGAGUUUAAUAGAUAUAAGUGUUAGAUAAGAAUCAACAAUCAAUCAAAAUAUGUAUAUAUAUACAUGUGUGUGUGUGUGUGUAUUGCAUAAAUAAAUUCGAGAUAUAUAUAAAAAUUAUAUGCUAAUCAUCAAAUAAAUUACAACUAUGUAUAUUGACAAAAUCUGAAUUAAACCAAACUACUAUCAAACAAACAAAAUAACGAUUGAGACUUCUGUACUGCAAUGUCCUUGAAACAAACUUUCUCCCCUACUCUAUGCUAGUGGUUUGAUGGGCAUUUGCUUCACUAGGACUCAACAAUCAAACUAAGAUUCUAGCAAACCUGGUUUCUGGCCAAUUUCUCUAUGAUUCUCUUAGUAGUAUGAAAAAAAAAAUCUAUGUUGUAAAUGCAUUGCAUAUUAACCUAUAUAUAAUAUGCAUGCCUUUUCGCAAAAGGUAUGGAUUUAUGAUGUAUCUUAUGGGAGGCAUCUGCUCAUAAGGGGUGUGUUUCUCUAGUUUUCUUUCGUCAUCUUAGACUUAUAGGAAAGUAUGAGUUAUUGAAUUUAACCAAAUAAAUAAAUAAUUAUUAGAUUUAGGUAAUACUAGGAGACUAAAUUUGUAGACAAAAUUUUGUAAACUAAAUGACAUAGAAGUUGAUGAUUUAAUUAUUACUUAAUCUUUUAUAAACGUGCUCAUUCCUAUUGGUGACACAUCAUUUAGUUUGUAAAUAUUGUCUACAAAUUUAGUCUUCCUACCAACAACAACAACAACAACAACAACAAAGCCUUUUCCCACUAAGUGGAGUCGGCUAUAUGAAUCCUAGAACGCCAUUGCGCUCGGUUUUGUGUCAUGUCCUCCGUUAGAUCCAAGUACUCUAAGUCUUUUCUUAGGGUCUCUUCCAAAGUUUUCCUAGGUCUUCCUCUACCCCUUCGGCCCCGAACCUCUGUUCCGUAGUCACAUCUUCGAACCGGAGCGUCAGUAGGCCUUCUUUGCACAUGUCCAAACCACCGUAACCGAUUUUCUCUCAUAUUUCCUUCAACUUCGGCUACUCCUACUUUACCUCGGAUAUCCUCAUUCACAAUCUUCUCCUUUCUCGUGUGCCCACACAUCCCACGAAGCAUCCUUAUCUCCGCUACACCCAUUUUGUGUACGUGUUGAUGCUUCACCGCCCAACAUUCUGUGCCAUACAACAUCGCUGGCCUUAUUGCCGUCCUAUAAAAUUUUCCCUUGAGCUUCAGUGACCUACGACGAUCACACAACACGCCGGAUGCACUCUUACACUUCAUCCAUCCAGCUUGUAUUCUAUGGUUGAGAUCUCCAUCUAAUUCUCCGUUCUCUUGCAAGAUAGAUCCUAGGUAGCGAAAACGGUCGCUUUUUGUGAUCGUCGCUAGAUUGCUCCGGUCAUUAGUGUGGAUAAGUAUAUAAAUGGAUAGAGAUAGGAAAGCAAACACCAGAUGUACGUGGUUCACCCAUAUUGGCUACGUCCAUGAAAUAGAGGAGUUCUCAUUAAUUGUGAAGGGUUUACACAAGUACAUAGGUUCAAGCUCUCUUUUAGUGAGUACAAGUGAAUGAUUUAGUACAAAUGACAUUAGGAAAUAUUGUGGGAGAAUGAUCUCGUAAUCACGAAACUUCUAAGUUCCGGAGUGUGGUAUCGUCUUGACUUGCCUUAUCUGUCUCGUAGGUAGAUGUGGCAUCUUCUCUGGAAGUACUCUUCCUCCAUCCAGGGGUGGUAUCUUUAACUGGUGGAGAUGCACAAGGUAAUGUAUCAAUUUCACUUGAAGCUUACUUGUAGUUUCAGGCUUGGUCAAGCGCGAUACAAACCAUGUAGUAGGAGUCCUCCAAGUCGCCAAGCUAGGGGAUCUGCUGAAAGAGGUGACACACAAGGUAAGCAAUCAGAGCUCCAAGCAAUCAGUCCCAGAUCAGAACUUUGAUUUCGAGUUCUGGCUGAUUGUUCACAUUCUCCCUAUCUUGCAGGCAGCAUGAAGGAUAAAGAGAAGAAAAAUGAGAAGAGAUGAUAUGGGAUACUUUUGCUUUUGAAGAAGUAACUUUCCACAGGCUUAUUCUUGAACUGGGCUGGAGGGUUUUCUGGUUUCCUCCAGAGUAUAAGGCCGACUGAAGAAUUUGAGGGUCAAAACAAGUCCAUCAAAUCUAUAGUACGUUCGACCCUGCUGAUAUGGGAUACUUUUGCUUUUGACAGAUUAGUGGAUGUAUCGGCACGUGUGCUGUUACGAUUGUCUCCACAUGCUUCCUUGUAUCUUUUCUCACUUGCCCUAUAUGUUCCUCAGGCAGAUGCGGUAUCUUUACUGAAAGCAUAAGAUGUUGAAGAUGAGUACUCGAGAGCAAUGCCAGGUAAGUAAUCAAGUAAGGGGUUCUAGGCAGUCAGUUCCUGACUGGAAGCUUGAUUCCAAGUGCUGACUGAUUGCUCUAUUUCUCCUUAUCUUGUAGGUAAGAACAAGGCCAAAGGAAAAGACAGGGAAAAAACAUGAUAUGGGAUACUCUUGCUUUUAACCCUGAUGAUAUGAGAUAUUCUUGCUCUAGUAUAGCUUGUUUGCAGAGGUAUUAUCGGGGGGAAAGAAAGCUGAAUAUUUCGAAAGGCUUCUUUGGGAGUGCCCUCUCAGAUAUGAGGAAGGGUUGAUCAUUUUUGCAGGUAUGCCUGUCUGUUGGGGAUGGAGGUCAACAUAUAUAGGAGUCUCCCUAACAACAAGUGGUAAUGCUAUUCCCUUACCCUGCUUGGUCAUAACACGGUAGUGGGAGCUGCCAGCUUCACAUGUUUUAACUUUGUCAGAGCACUUUGAAAAAGUGGUCUGUGGUAUCUGGAAAGCUGAUGUUGCGUGUAAAGAUUACAGACAAGCUUUAUCCAAGGAGAUCCGGCUCUUGAAGUUGGGAAAGUGGUGCCUCUUCGGUUUUCGAACAAGCAAUCUUGUUGGAGAUCUGGCUCUCGAGAUUCGGAGAACGAUGCCUUUUCGAUUUUUGAGAAAGCCAUCCUGCUAGGGGUCUGGCUCUCGAGAUUCGGAGAGCGGUGUCUCUUCGAUUUUUGAGAAAGUAAUCAUGUUGGGAGUCUGGUUCUCGAGAUUCGGAGGGCGGUGCCUCUUCGAUUUUGGAGCAAGCAGUCUUGUUGGGAGUGUUUUCUCAAAUGUGAGAAAAGGUUGGGCAUGUUUGCUAGUCUAUCUUGCCACGAAGCAUAGAGGUUGACACACAGGGACUUUCCAAUUAUCCAGCAGUGGUACUGUUCCUUUACCCUUGUGGGUAAUAAUAUGGUAGCUAGACCUUCAAAAUUUAUGUGUCUAAACUUUGUUAGUGCUAUUUCUUUGCUAUUCUUUUACCCUUCUUGGUCAGAGCGGUGUAGUGGGAGCUGCAAGCUUCACGUGUCUCAACUUUAUCAGAAAACUUUGGCAAAGUUAUCUGUGGUACCCAUGAGCUAAUGUUGCGUGUGGGAAGUGGGUGAUUGAAAAGUAAGAUUCAUGUGCUUUCUACUUCACCAGAAAUCUUCGACAUAAUGCCCAUAAUUUCCGCAAAGCUGACAGGUGCUGACAAGGCUGGAAAAGUAGGUGCCUCUUCGAUUUCUGAGAUCGGCUCUCGUGGUCUCUGAGCAGCCCAACUUUUGAGAAAUCAAGCACCUUUUCGAUUUCUGAGAUCGGCCUUCGUGGUCUUUGAGUAGCCCAACUUUUGAGAAAGCAAACGUCUCGUGGUCUCUGAGCAGCCCAGCUUUUGAGAAAGCAAACACCUCUUCGAUUUCUGAAGCUCCGUCGAGUGCAGAUUUUUAUAGAGGCUGGCAUUAAGUUCCAAAGCACACUUGAAUCUCCACCAGUAGAAGCUCCAUUCUUGCACUUCUAAGAUCUUGAUUUGUCCGACCUCUUCUCUCUUCAACACCUUUGAAAAUGUCUGGCCCUUCCGACCGUCGCUUUGACUUGAACCUUGUUGAAGAGGCAGCCACGCCUUCUCCAGACAACAUAUGGCGCCCAUCAUUCGUCUCCCCUACUGGUCCUCUUACUGUUGGGGAUUCCGUGAUGAAGAAUGAUAUGACCGCUGCGGUAGUGGCCAUGAACCUUCUCACUCCCAAAGAUAACAGACUACUUUCCAAACGGUCUGAUGAGUUGGCUGUUAAGGAUUCUCUGGCUCUCAGUGUUCAGUGUGCAGGUUCUGUGUCUAACAUGGGCCAACGCCUAUUUGCUCGAACCCGCCAAGUUGAAUCAUUGGCGACUGAAGUGAUGAGUCUCAAACAGGAGAUUAGAGGGCUCAAGCAUGAGAAUAAACAGUUGCACCGGCUCGCACAUGACUAUGCUACAAACAUGAAGAGGAAGCUUGACCAGAUGAAGGAAUCUGAUGGUCAGGUUUUACUUGAUCAUCAGAGAUUUGUGGGUUUGUUUCAAAGGCAUUUAUUGCCUUCGUCUUCUAGGGCUGUACCGCGUAAUGAAGCUCCAAAUGAUCAACCUCUGAUGCCUCCUCCUUCUAGGGUUCUGUCCAGUACUGAGGUUCCAAAUGAUCCCCCUCCAGUGCCUGCUCUUUCUGGGGCUCUACCGACUACUGAGACUUCUCCUAAGCAACCUUUGUGAAGGCUCCCUCUUGUUUGUUUAUUUUGACUCAUGUAUAUGUACAUAUUUGUGACUUAUCGGGGAUAUCAAUAAAUAGCUUUCCUUCAUUUCAACGUAUUGUGUUGAAUACACCAAAGCCUUCUUCGCUAAGUUCUCUGAAUUUUCUUUUGUUAAAGCUUGUAUGUUGAAGUUUUGUGAGUGGAGCAUGUAGGUUGAGGUAGUAUUCCCUUAAUUUCCCGAGUGAGGAAAACUUCUCGGUUGGAGACUUGGAAAAUCCAAGUCACUGAGUGGGAUCGGCUAUAUGAAUCUUUGAACGCCAUUGUGCUCGGUCCUGUGUCAUGUCCUCCGUUAGAUCCAAGUACUUUAAGUCUUUUCUUAGAGUUUCUUCCAAAGUUUUCCUAGGUCUUCCUCUACCCCUUCGGCCCUGAACCUCUGUCCCAUAGUCGCAUCUUCUAAUCGGAGCGUCAAUAGGCCUUCUUUGCACAUGUCCAAACCACCGUAACCGAUUUUCUCUCAUCUUUCCUUCAAUUUCGGCUACUCCUACUUUACCCCGGAUAUCUUCAUUCCUAAUCUUAUCCUUUCUUGUGUGCCCACACAUCCAACGAAGCAUCCUCAUCUCCGCUACACCCAUUUUGUGUACGUGUUGAUGCUUCACCGCCCAACAUUCUGUGCCA
Molecule: long non-coding RNA, 5351 nt
Filed under: Malus domestica (apple)
Lineage: Eukaryota; Viridiplantae; Streptophyta; Magnoliopsida; Rosales; Rosaceae
Description: long non-coding RNA (MDOM_LNC000669)
Source: RNAcentral